UAGAGUUUUCUAAACUCCCAAACCCAUGUGAACUUACCAUUGUUGCCUCGGCAGAACCUACCCGGUACCUACCCUGGAACCAGCUACCCUGUAGCUACCCAGGAACGGGCUACCCUGUAACGUCCUGCCGGUGGACUUCUAAACUCUUGUUAUUUAUAGUAAUCUGAGCGUCUUAUUUUAAUAAGUCA
Molecule: unclassified non-coding RNA, 188 nt
Filed under: uncultured Ascomycota
Lineage: Eukaryota; Fungi; Ascomycota
Description: sequence contains ITS1
Source: RNAcentral